CAUCGAUGAAGAACGCAGCGAAAUGCGAUACGUAAUGUGAAUUGCAAAUUCAGUGAAUCAUCGAGUCUUUGAACGCACAUUGCGCCCCCUGGUAUUCCGGGGGGCAUGCCUGUCCGAGCGUCAUUGCUGCCCUCAAGCCCGGCUUGUGUGUUGGGCCCCGUCCUCCGAUUCCGGGGGACGGGCCCGAAAGGCAGCGGCGGCACCGCGUCCGGUCCUCGAGCGUAUGGGGCUUUGUCACCCGCUCUGUAGGCCCGGCCGGCGCUUGCCGAUCAACCCAAAUUUUUAUCCAGGUUGACCUCGGAUCAGGUAGGGAUACCCGCUGAACUUAAGCAUAUCAAUAGCGGAGGAA
Molecule: ribosomal RNA, 349 nt
Filed under: Penicillium polonicum
Lineage: Eukaryota; Fungi; Ascomycota; Eurotiomycetes; Eurotiales; Aspergillaceae
Description: eukaryotic LSU rRNA
Rfam family: 5.8S ribosomal RNA (bases 1-123)
Source: RNAcentral